This 253-nucleotide ribosomal RNA is filed under the name uncultured bacterium. RNAcentral describes it as "partial 16S ribosomal RNA". It matches the Rfam family "Archaeal small subunit ribosomal RNA", at positions 474 to 726 of the family's 1478-position model. The record is from RNAcentral.
UACCAGCACCCCGAGUGGUCGGGACGUUUUAUUGGGCCUAAAGCAUCCGUAGCCGGUUCUACAAGUCUUCCGUUAAAUCCACCUGCUUAACAGAUGGGCUGCGGAAGAUACUAUAGAGCUAGGAGGCGGGAGAGGCAAGCGGUACUCGAUGGGUAGGGGUAAAAUCCGUUGAUCCAUUGAAGACCACCAGUGGCGAAGGCGGCUUGCCAGAACGCGCUCGACGGUGAGGGAUGAAAGCUGGGGGAGCAAACGG